This 391-nucleotide ribosomal RNA is filed under the name uncultured bacterium. Its description in RNAcentral is "bacterial SSU rRNA". It matches the Rfam family "Bacterial small subunit ribosomal RNA", at positions 30 to 420 of the family's 1533-position model. The record is from RNAcentral.
AUUGAACGCUGGCGGCAUGCCUUACACAUGCAAGUCGAACGGCAGCGCGGGGCAACCUGGCGGCGAGUGGCGAACGGGUGAGUAAUAUAUCGGAACAUACCCUAGAGUGGGGGAUAACGUAGCGAAAGUUACGCUAAUACCGCAUACGCACUAAGGUGGAAAGUGGGGGAUUCGCAAGAACCUCAUGCUCAUGGAGUGGCCGAUAUCUGAUUAGCUAGUUGGUGAGGUAAAGGCUCACCAAGGCGACGAUCAGUAGCUGGUUUGAGAGAACGACCAGCCACACUGGAACUGAGACACGGUCCAGACUCCUACGGAGGCAGCAGUGGGGAAUUUUGGUACAAUGGGGGCGAACCCUGAUCCAGCAAUGCCGCGUGAGUGAAGAAGGCCUCGG